Molecule: ribosomal RNA, 253 nt
Filed under: uncultured bacterium
Lineage: Bacteria
Description: partial 16S ribosomal RNA
Rfam family: Bacterial small subunit ribosomal RNA
Source: RNAcentral
UACAGAGGGUGCGAGCGUUGUCCGGAAUCACUGGGCGUAAAGAGCUCGUAGGCGGUCUGUCACGUCGGCUGUGAAAUCCCGAGGCUCAACCUCGGGUCUGCAGUCGAUACGGGCAAACUAGAGUAUUGCAGGGGAGACUGGAAUUCCUGGUGUAGCGGUGAAAUGCGCAGAUAUCAGGAGGAACACCGGUGGCGAAGGCGGGUCUCUGGGCAAUAACUGACGCUGAGGAGCGAAAGCGUGGGGAGCGAACAGG